Phragmites australis (common reed) is the source of this 1953-nucleotide long non-coding RNA. RefSeq lists it as uncharacterized. The record is from RefSeq and is a predicted model, not a curated record. The transcript has 6 exons. Lineage: Eukaryota; Viridiplantae; Streptophyta; Magnoliopsida; Poales; Poaceae.
ACGAAGAGCCUCCAGUUCAUCUUCAUCCUCUCCUCCUUGCUCCAUUUUCCACUAAACCCUACGAACACAGAGAGAGAGAGAGAGAGAGAGAUGGUGCCAUGGUGGUGGUGGCGCUGCUGCAGGAUCUGAGGGGUUGCAUCGCCCACCUACUUGGCAAGGGGGAGGUGAUGCAAGAUCUGGAGUACUCCAUGCGGACCAAGGGCGACAUGACUCGAGCGGAGGAGGUCAAACUUUGGAUUUUCAGCACGGUUGCAAAAGGGGACCUCAUCGUGGUCGCCGCACUGAAGCUCUCAGCAUAGGACAUAGAUUUCCUGUGGUCAUUAUGCUUCGACCUUUGCUGCUUUGCAUGGAUCAAUAAGGUUUGGCGCAGUUGAUGGUAAAUCUCAAGGCUAUUCAACCUGGUAGUGAUCCCAUAUAUAUGCAAAAAUUUUGUGAGCAUAUUCAGGCCUGCUAGCUUGUUGCAGUGUUUCUUGGACACAGCCAUGGCCACGCGGGUGUUGUUAUAGAUUCAGGUGUUGAUUUGUUGAAAAUAAUAAUAAUAAUUGAACAUGAGAAAUGUUACUUAUAGAUUCAGGUGUUGAUUUGUUGAAAAUAAUAAUAAUAAUUGAACAUGAGAAAUGUUACUUGGAAAUGAACAUGGGUUUCAGAAUCCGACUCUGAUUCGGGUGUGAAGUUCGGCAAACUUUCUUUCACGACUCAGGUGUCAGGGUAGUAACACUAGUGUGGUGUGAACAUUAUUUCAUAAUGGAACAACUGUCAUACAGACAAAGGCCAAACAACAUGACUUGAAGGUGAUUGGGGUGUUGUAAAGGGCAAAUAGACUGUAAGCUGCGGUGCAAGAACUUUAGGCGAGAGAAAGACUAAUUAAUCAUUCUUGCUUGAUUCAUAAUGGAAAAAAGGCUAUCCCUUUUAUAUGGUUGGCUCAAGUUGACCCCUUAGAAACAAUUUUGAAAAUUAGGAAAUCUAAUAUAUGGAAUAUAUAUAUCUACAAAGAACCAACCCAAUUAACAUGGAAAUUAUUUAUCCUUAUUACUAAUUCCCAACUAAUACUUUAUUGAUGGGCACCGCAUGAAAGGUAGUUUUGUUAUUCCAACGUUCAAAUUUUGAAGGAAGCAGAUUGGCUACUCUUCUAGGAAUAGUUACAGCCAGUCAUAGGUGGUUCUUUCAUCACAGGAAAGUUCGUGUAUUAUUUAACUUCACGCUUGUGUGCUGAAGUUGUUUUGAACAAUGACAAUGAGGACCACAUGAAGAUGGAACUGGUUAACAUGUGUGGUUUGUUAAAUUUGAUUCACUUUUUAAUAUCAGGUGUUCCAACUAACUCCUUGUCUCAUUACAUAAUUCCUUCAUUACUUGCUUAAUCAACAAAAUACUGACUAAGCAUAGCGAUGAUAAACCACUGGUUGAAGCUGUAUAAGGCUCUUCUUUGCUGAGCAUUUGUUCAAUGAUUUGCAUCAAGAUCGACCAUUUUUCAGGUGGCACCCACGCCAUUAAUAUAUUGACAACGCUUUUGUGGAAAGGAUGAAGGAAAUAGAAAAUGAAGUUAAUAGCUCCGACGAUGAGGACAGAUCAAAUUCUAGACAAACAACUGUAAACAUUGGAUCAUUUGGAGACCUCAUGGAUGCCCCGCUGGCUUGCAUGCUCGGGGCUCCAGGAAGGGACAUGGAAAGCCACAAUCUCUCUAAAAACACAGGUGCUGUCCUGAAGCGAAGGGAGCUGCGAAACCGCAGGAAAAGUCACUGGCGUAAUCAUCAUCAUGGAUAUGCUGACAAGUUUGCUGCUUGUAAUGCGUACAUCAGAAGUGUGGCAGAAUACUGUAAAUGUUUGCAUUGUUUAAAAAAACACAUUUCUUGAAGAUGAUGGUUCCAAACCGAUACAAAAGGCGACAAAUGAUGGCUCCAACCUGUUAUUUUGUUUAUUGCAUGUUACAGGAUUAUUUACUAUUAGGUUAUCAAU